UUUUAUAGUUAUUACUGCUUGCUUUAGGUGUUAAAGAUUUGAGCAGUGUCAGUGGCUGCUGGGCCUUUGUGUGUGCGUAGUGACGUGUGUGUUAAGCCCCCGCUGCUUGGCUGGAAUUUGUGGGGAGGCCUGUUGAUCGCUGAUUGUGUAAUUUGUGUUUCUGAUUGCUUUGUGGUCACCGUAUGAGUAAAUAUGACCGGUUGUUGUGGGUUUGUUUUGGUUUCUUUGGUAAUUCCAUUCAUUUUGAAUUCAUGUGAUGCAGCAUCCUGUCAUACUGUGUGAAAGUGAUGCUUCAGUCAGCGUGUGUUCAUGUCUCUGCAGUAGUGUAUUAGGUGUCUCUAGGUGUUGAGUCUUGUGUUAAAUCAUGUUAUUCCACACAGUAAUGUCCUAGUGUCAUGGUGAGGUUAUUCAAAGGUGAUUUAAUAGAUGUAGGAUAGCACUUGUCAAGUUAUGUAUGGUUCACACUUCAGCUCUUUGCUCAAACUUGAAAAAGGGCUCUGCAAGGACUGAAGGACGCAAGGGACAACUCCGAUUUCUUCUGACUUCUCUUUUAUUUAAUUCCAGUUUAGUUUGUUGUAGAUGGAUUUUAAUUUGUAGGUACAAGCAGCAGAGGAAUUAUUAAUAGCAGUAGAAGAUUGUAGUAGCAGUAGUAGUAGAAGAUUGUAGUUAGUUAGUUAGUUAGUUAGUUAGUAGUAGUAGUAGUAGUAGUAGUAGUAGAAGAUUGUAGCUAGCAGUAGUAUAAGUUAGGUUGAUAACCUUUAAAGGCAAAAACA
Molecule: long non-coding RNA, 773 nt
Organism: Sander lucioperca (pikeperch)
Lineage: Eukaryota; Metazoa; Chordata; Actinopteri; Perciformes; Percidae
Exons: 2
Source: RefSeq, a predicted model, not a curated record